Molecule: ribosomal RNA, 407 nt
Filed under: uncultured bacterium
Lineage: Bacteria
Description: bacterial SSU rRNA
Rfam family: Bacterial small subunit ribosomal RNA
Source: RNAcentral
UGGGGAAUCUUCCGCAAUGGGCGCAAGCCUGACGGAGCAACGCCGCGUGAGUGACGAAGGUUUUCGGAUUGUAAAACUCUGUCCGCAGGGAAGAAGAAAGUGACGGUACCUGUGGAGGAAGCCCCGGCUAACUACGUGCCAGCAGCCGCGGUAAAACGUAGGGGGCAAGCGUUGUCCGGAAUUACUGGGCGUAAAGGGCGAGUAGGCGGCAAGGCAAGUUAGAAGUGAAACCUAUCGGCUCAACUGAUAGCCUGCUUCUAAAACUGCCUAGCUUGAGUACAGAAGAGGGGAGUGGAAUUCCCAGUGUAGCGGUGAAAUGCGUAGAUAUUGGGAGGAACACCAGUGGCGAAAGCGGCUCCCUGGCCUGUAACUGACGCUGAGGCGCGAAAGCGUGGGUAGCAAACAGG